RNA transcript from Lagopus muta (rock ptarmigan), 2547 nucleotides. It is a transcript of the gene named RNA polymerase II associated protein 3, with no coding region annotated. The record is from RefSeq and is a predicted model, not a curated record. NCBI's taxonomy places the organism in Eukaryota, Metazoa, Chordata, Aves, Galliformes, Phasianidae. The transcript is spliced from 17 exons.
CGGAAGUGAGGCGUCUUCUCGCGCGCGUGCGCUGUCCGUUGCCGCGGCGCCGUCGGAGCGCCGUCGCGCUGCAGCCUGGGAGGAGAUUGGGCUGUGCAGCGGCAGGCGGUGCGGGUUACAAUGACUGCAUCAAAUAAAGCACUGGAGCUUCAGCUGCAGAUAAAGCAAAAUGCUGAAGAACUGCAGGAUUUUAUGAGAGAAUUGGAGAGCUGGGAAAAGGAUAUUAAAGAAGUUGAUUCUGAAUUAAGGAAACAGAGUGGUGUCCCAGAAGAGAAUUUACCACCCAUUCGAAACAAAACUUUUAAGAAAAAGAAGAAAAGCAAAAGUAAAGUCCCAUCAAAGACAACCACUGAGGAAAACAAGAAAAACAAGAUCAAGUCUUAUGAUUAUGAAGCUUGGGGAAAACUCGAUGUGGAUAAAAUACUGGAAGAACUUGAUAAAGACGAUAGUACUCAUGAUUCUGUAUCUCCAGAAUCAGACUCUGAAGAAGAUGGAAUUCAUAUAGAUAAAGAAAAGGCUCUUGCAGAGAAGGAAAAGGGUAACAAAUACUUUAAACAAGGAAACUUUGAUGAAGCUAUAAAGUGCUACACUAAAGGGAUGCAUUCUGAUCCAUUCAAUCCAGUACUGCCUACAAACAGAGCAUCUGCUUUUUAUAGAAUGAAAAAGUUUUCUGUUGCAGAAUCUGAUUGCAAUUUAGCACUUGCUUUAGAUAAAAAUUAUACAAAGGCUUAUGCCAGAAGAGGGGCUGCUCGUUUUGCUUUGAAAAAUUUUCAAGGUGCUAAAGAAGAUUAUGAAAAAGUUUUAGAGCUGGAUGCCAACAACUUUGAAGCAAAAAAUGAACUGAAGAAAAUAGAACAGGCUCUAUCAUCUGAAAGCUCAAAACAAAAAGAGUUCGAAGAAGCAGCCAAAUCAGAGUUAACAGACAAUGAGAGAAGGUGCAUUGAGGAAGAGCAGCUCAAGCAGAAGGCUGUUAUAGAAAAAGAUUUGGGUAAUGGUUAUUUCAAAGAAGGAAAGUAUGAGGCUGCUAUAGAAUGUUAUACACGUGGUAUAGCAGCAGAUGGCACCAAUGCACUUCUGCCAGCUAACAGAGCCAUGGCCUAUCUCAAGAUACAGAAAUAUGAAGAGGCAGAAAAUGACUGUACACAAGCUCUUCUGUUAGAUGCAUCUUACUCUAAAGCUUUUGCUAGAAGAGGAGCUGCAAGAGUUGCUCUUGGAAAGCUAAAAGAAGCUAUGCAAGAUUUUGAAGCUGUUUUGAAGCUGGAACCUGGAAAUAAACAAGCAAUUAAUGAACUCACUAAAAUAAGGAAUGAAUUAGCUGAGAAAGAACAGUCAUGUCAUGAAGAGUAUCCUCCAGAAUUGAUAAAAGAAUCCGAAAUAAAAAAUGUAGUGAAACUCAUUCAUAAUCCAUUAAAUCAGAGAUCAACAAAGCCUUUGCGGAGAAUAGCCAUUGAAGAAGUUGAUGAUGACAUGCUGAGUAGUGAUUUCUCCAGCUCUUCUUCUUUAGUUCAUAACUGGAAGAAUUCAGUGAAUAUUGAAACAACAGAGAAUCUAGAUCAGGACAAUCAGUUAACUUCAGUGGACAUUCCAAAAGCAAAGCAAUUGAAAAUCGAAGAAAUCACAGAUGUGUCGUCACCACAGCUUCCUGCUGGUGUCAAAGGAAUUUCAUCAGUAUUGCAUCCAUCUGUGAACAAGCAGAUAGAUAGAGAAAGCAAAACAUCAUUUAGAUCUGCAUCUCCAGUCCCUGCCAUUCCUGCAAAUUCUUUCCAGCUUGAAUCUGAUUUCAGGAAGUUGAAAGAGUGCCCAGAAAAAAUGUACUUGUACCUGAAGCAAAUAGAGCCUUCGAUUUAUCCAAAACUGUUCCAGAAAUCCCUAGAUCCAGACUUGUUCAACCAGAUAAUGAGAAUUCUACAUGACUUCUACAUUGAUUAUUUUUAUGUUUCUAAUAAUUUUCUCCAGGAAAGAGGAGCCAUCACUCAUCCUUGAAAUCCUCCAAAGGCUAUCUGAAUUAAAAAGAUUUGAUAUGGCAGUAAUGUUUAUGUCAGAAUCAGAGAAGAAAAUUACACAGGUACUAUUCAGUCAUGUGAAACACAUGGGAUUGAAAGAUGCUUCUGUUGAAGAACUGGAGAAGAAAUACGCCGUAUUCUCUUAGUGAGUUUCCUGACAACUACACGUGUGAAUUGCUCUGUUUCCAUGCUUCCGUCAUGUUGAACUCAGCUCAAGAAUCCUAUAAAGACUGGAGUUUGGUUGCUUUUGUAUAUGUGGUUAGAUUCUUAAAGUUAAUUCAUCCAAAUGGCCAGUGCCUGGAGAGAGAAUUUCUUAGUUCUGCAGACACAUUUACUUUCCAGCACCUGAAACAAUACAGAUUUACUUAUCUUCAGUGGAAUCUGUUAAAAAAUGAUGAAUAGUGUUCCAGAUUGCAACUGCAGAUGGAGAUCUUUAUUAAAAAGAAAAAAAUUAUAUUUAUGAACAUUCUUUUGGUAAGAAUCAAAUGAUGUGUAAGAAUUUUUUUUUUUUUAUUUCAGAAAAUAAAAUAAAUGUUGAGCUAAA